CGAAUAACAAAAGACCUUGCGCGUUUUCGAUUUGGGUUUUUUUCUUCUCUUGAACACUGUGCUUUUUUUAUUAAUAUUGAAUGUAAAACAAUACAUUUGAUUUCAUGGCUUUUAUAAUCGAAGAAAAUACAAUAUUUUUUGCUUGUUUUGUUUUUUUCUUUCUGUGUUUGUCCUUUGUCUUAUCUGUAGGUACGAAGGCCAUGCUGGC
This 208-nucleotide long non-coding RNA is filed under the name Gossypium barbadense (sea-island cotton). RNAcentral describes it as "long non-coding RNA (GBAR_LNC003291)". Lineage: Eukaryota; Viridiplantae; Streptophyta; Magnoliopsida; Malvales; Malvaceae. The record is from RNAcentral.